GUUAUCAGGUGACGCCUACGCGAUUGUAACGCUUUGCCGGUGGACGCCACAACUACACUCACCUACGGACCGACGCCUUAACCGUCGCCUCAUCACUAACGAAUCAUCUAAGUGUCAAACUUAUAAGUUGUACGGUUCACUGACAAACUCAAAAAAAAUCAUCACCUGAAGUGUUUUCCUGGAUAUUUCCGAAAGUGAAUAGUGAGACAGCUUUCAGGAUUGCAAGGUAAACCAUAACUAAUGGAAUGAAUGCAAGCAAGGUUGUCCGUGCUGAUAUUAUGAUAGGACACGAGGGUGUGACUCAGCGGGGUUCGGCACGUACGUAAACAAUCCCUGAACAACAAUGUCAAAAGAACAACAAUGAAGAUCAACUGUAAUUCAUAGAAUUAAAGCUUGCAGCGCAACAUUUCUAUUCAUUUUGUUUUCUUAAUAAAGUUGAAUUUUACUGUUUCCUAA
Molecule: long non-coding RNA, 456 nt
Organism: Photinus pyralis (common eastern firefly)
Lineage: Eukaryota; Metazoa; Arthropoda; Insecta; Coleoptera; Lampyridae
Exons: 2
Source: RefSeq, a predicted model, not a curated record